CAACAGAAAAACGUUAAAAAAAAAAAGGUUGUCUCAAGAGAAAAAAUCAUUCGACAACAUAGAUCAGAUUCAGUCGACGAUGGAUCAGACAACCUCUAUUUCGGAAUUGAAAGAUCCAGAGUAAGAUCCAUCAUCAAUUUGUCUUAAUGGAGUUCCCGAUGUCGUCUUCAAUUAAUAAGUGAGCGUUUCUUCUGAGCGCGGAAAUCUAUAAACGAAUAUGGGUAUUCUUUAUAAGGAACUCGAAUGACGAACAUUUAACCAAAGAUAAGUAACCCUAAACCCAUUUCUUUAUUUGUAAAUACCUAUGACUUAUCUAUCCAAAAACUCUAAUCUUUUUGUUUUUUGAUAUUACCAGUAUAUAUAUUAUACCAUCAUUCGUUAUUCUUCCACUUCUAUUCUUCUACUUCUAUUUUCAAUAAGGAAGUCUAGAGACAACAAUUGGAUUGAAGUUUGGCGUAAAACUUACCAUAUAGUUUUGGAUUUCUUUUUCCUUGCAAGUAGGGAAAUAUUUUUUCUCUAAUGGAUCCCUAAGCUUUUGAGUGGAGCUUCGAGAUAUAUAAUCGAAUUGAGUCUUCUUUCAAAGUCAGGAGAAGAAAUGAAGAACACUAAAUCAAAGAUAAGUAAACAAACCCUCUUAUCGAUUAGUAGAUGCCUCUACUACAAUCCUUUAAAACUCUAAUGUUACAUUUUACUUGGUCAGGGUACAAUUACUUAAUCAAAGACGAAAAUUGGGGAACAAAUGUGUUAAAGGUUGACUUAUAAGAAACAAGUAAUUUGGAUUUCUUUUCCCUUGCAAGUAGUUUUCGAAAAAAGAUAAGAUACUGAAUCUUUUUUUAGUUUUAUAAAUAUGUAUUUUUCUUUUAAAUCAACUCUAAUGUGAAACUGGUUUUAUUUUUGUCAGGGUAAUUCCUGUUACAGGGUUACAUAAGUUAAACUUUGAAAAUAGAAGUGGAAGAAUAACGAAUGAUGGUAUAAUAUAUAUACUGGUUGAAGUUCAUAAUAGAAAGAAAAUAACUGUAACACAGAACUGCUAUCACCAUACUGCAUGUUGAAGGUAAUUUGAUUAAGGUUGGUAUCUAUAUAUGCAUUCACUACAAUUAGCUUUUAAAUUUUUCUGUGUGUUGAAUGCAUUGACUUUUACAAAUUUAAGUGAUUAUAAAAAUUGUGUCUCAAUCAAAAAUAAUAAUAAUUGUGUUUAAUAAUUUAUGAUAAUGAAAGUACACUGCCGGUUGAAUCUGUAUCUAGAAACUAAAUAAAAAAUAAUAAAAUAAGCAAAAAAUUGUUUUAAUAGGAAGUAAAAAAUGAACCCAGUUACCAAUAGGAAGUCUAUUCACAUAUUUGUUUAGCAAUUUCUUCUUCACUGAUGCAUGAAUCUUUUUACUCUGCAAGAAUGAAAGACAUAAGAUGCAUUAGUAAUAGAAAAUAAUAGUAUGUUUCGUAAACGUAAACAGUAGAACUUACCAUCGAGUCUGACAAAACCAACUCAAGUGUUUCACCACCAUUUAGACGCCAUGAAUGGAUGACCUUCACUUGAACCCUCCAUGAGGUUUUCUAUGGGCGAACGUCUUUCAAGAAAGAAAAAGUAGCAGCCAUGAUGUGAGUGAUGUUUAGAUGUGUUUGCUUCUGUUUAAUUUUCGUUUAGGUGGGUAUUAUUUAUAGGGAAACCGAUUAGGUCAUUGAACACAUUUGUAAAGAUAUCAAAAAGAUAUGAUGAACCGAUAAUUAGAGAGAAAAUUUUGUUUUCUGUUUUUUUUAUGGAAUCUUUAGGGGACAUGUUAUAUUUAAAAUUUAUUUCUGUUUAAGUUGAUUGAUUUUGGAGUUGUGUAAUUGUUGGAGCAAAUUUUUGGAAAUCAAGCAGUUUAAACAGAAAUCUCGGAGAAGAUUGUAAGGCAAGAAAAAUUUUCUGCAUUUAAUUGUUGAAGAUAAACAGAUGGGGAAAAGAGUUUGUGGGUUAUGAAAAUUUCGUGACAGGAUGGGAUUGGCCCAAAUGUUUUUUGUAAUCGUGUAACCCAAUAUUAGUUUAUAAGCUAAUAAAGACAGUGGCAGAGUUGUAAAUAAGUUGGAAGUCCAUGAUUUAUUCUAUAAAUCUUUCUGAAAAUGUAUAUAUAGAUUAAUUAAUGGA
This is a non-coding RNA of Camelina sativa (false flax), 2122 nucleotides long. The record is from RefSeq and is a predicted model, not a curated record. NCBI's taxonomy places the organism in Eukaryota, Viridiplantae, Streptophyta, Magnoliopsida, Brassicales, Brassicaceae.